AUUGAACGCUGGCGGCAUGCUUUACACAUGCAAGUCGAACGGCAGCGCGGGCAUCGGCCUGGCGGCGAGUGGCGGACGGGUGGGUAAUACAUCGGAACGUGGCCAGUAGUGGGGGCUAGCGCGGCGACAGCGGGAUUAAUACCGCAUAAGACCAGAGGGUGAAAGCGGGGGAUCUUCGGACCUUCGGCCAUUGCGCGGGCGGAUGGCAGAUUAGCUAGUUGGUGGGGUAAAGGCCUACCAAGGCGACGAUCUGUAGCUGGUCUGAGAGGAUGACCAGCCACACUGGGACUGAGACACGGCCCAGACUCCUACGGGAGGCAGCAGUGGGGAAUUUUGGACAAUGGGCGAAAGCCUGAUCCAGCAAUGCCGCGUGUGUGAUGAAGGCCUUCGGGUUGUAAAGCACUUUUGGCGGGAACGAAAAGGACUGUGCCAAUACCACGGUUCGAUGACGGUACCCGCAGAAUAAGCACCGGCUAACUACGUG
Molecule: ribosomal RNA, 484 nt
Filed under: uncultured bacterium
Lineage: Bacteria
Description: partial 16S ribosomal RNA
Rfam family: Bacterial small subunit ribosomal RNA
Source: RNAcentral